This 24-nucleotide transfer RNA is filed under the name Rhopalosiphum padi (bird cherry-oat aphid). RNAcentral's name for it is "partial transfer RNA-Met". Lineage: Eukaryota; Metazoa; Arthropoda; Insecta; Hemiptera; Aphididae. The record is from RNAcentral.
AGAAAAAUAAGCUAAAUUAAGCUU